Molecule: long non-coding RNA, 517 nt
Organism: Xiphophorus hellerii (green swordtail)
Lineage: Eukaryota; Metazoa; Chordata; Actinopteri; Cyprinodontiformes; Poeciliidae
Exons: 3
Source: RefSeq, a predicted model, not a curated record
UGGUAUAGAAAUAUACAUAUUCCUAUACAAAUAGUUUCCAGGUGUGACGCUCCGGUUGGGUAAAGUGGGCGGGGUAUAUAAGCGGCCGCUGUGCCCAGUCAGACAUGUGUCUUUCUCACCAUCCACUGUGUGGCCCGCGUCUCUUGGGUUCCGGCGGUAAAAAAAGGCAACAUAUCGCCAAGUGUGGUGCAUGCUGCUUUGAUUCCCUGGUGGUGAAACGCUAUUGUGCUGCUCUCCUCUGCUUCCUCGUUCAGCGAGUGUGUGUGUGCGUUUUGCCUGGAUUGACAGGUCUCCCCAUAUUCGAACCAUUGCUGCUCUUUUGGAUCCCGGAUUUUGCACGUCAUCAGUCAAACUCGGACUGUGGUGGCGCCUACACGCCUUAAUUGAAGCGGUGUUUGGGGUGUGGCAUCGGCGCGCCGAGCUCGCCUCCUGCUGUGGCGUGACCAGAGCCACACCGGAUCUUAAUCUUCAACUUGGAUUUUCUAUUUUUUUCUUUAUUUAGUUUCCAGCCCUUCGG